AUGCCGUCUCUCCACGGCGAUGAAAUCGACGGUCCAAUUGCCUUCAAGAGGUCAAGUGCCUCUAUGAAGAAGAACAUGCCCACUCCCACCCGCUCAUCAGGAACUGUAGUGAAGCCAAACAGUCUUGGACAACAUUGUCAGAAGAGUAACCUGAAAAGACUACGUGUGGAAGAUGUCCUCAUGUCGGAUGAUUCAGACGAUGACAAACCUAUUGCAGUAAGGAUGAAGGUUUGUGAGAGGAAAUCAAAGGAAAUCAUUAGAAAAGGUGCCAUGCCAGAUGGUGAUUCUGAGGAUGAGAGACCGAUUGCAUCAAGGAAAAAUGUUCGUGAGAGGAAAUUGACGACAAUCAAUGCAGGAGGUGCCAAGGCAGAUGGUGAUCGUGACCAAAAUUCAGAUGAUGAGAAACCGCUGGCCGCGAGAUUGGCCAUUAGCAGCGCUGCUCCAAAAACCGGAGGCAAUGUCUCUGAUGAUGAUUCAGAGGAUGACAAGCCACUGACUGCCCGUUUUAAUCUUGUUACCGGGGGUGCAUCCAGAAACUCAGUCGAAAGGAGAGGUGGUCGUAGUGAUCAAACAGUCUCCGCUCUUAAUAAGGACAGGUGGCCUUCAGAUGCUUCUGACUCGUCGAGUGUCGAAAGCGAACCCAAGGAUGAACCCGAGCACGAUGGUCGAAAGAAAUGGUCUACUUUGGUGCACAAUGGUGUGGUCUUUCCUCCUCCGUACAAGCCUCAUGGUGUCAAGAUGCUUUACCAUGGGCGGCCUGUUGAUCUGACCCCAGAACAGGAGGAGGUUGCAACCAUGUUUGCUGUGAUGAAAGACACAGAGUACGCAUCCAAGGAAACAUUUAUCACCAAUUUUUUCACCGAUUGGAGAAAAAUUCUUGGUAAAACACAUAUCAUCACAGAGUUCGAGCUUUGUGAUUUCACACCGAUCUAUGAAUGGCAUUUCCGAGAGAAGGAGAAGAAAAGCCACAUGACAUCAGAGGAGAAGAAAGCAUUGCAGGAAGAGAAAUCGAAACAAGUAGAGAAGUUUAUGUGGGCUUUUGUAGACGGUGUUAAAGAGAAGGUUGGCAAUUUCAGAGUAGAACCACCUGGCUUGUUCAGGGGACGUGGAGAGCAUCCAAAGAUGGGAAGAUUGAAGCGACGCAUCCGACCAAGUGAUAUUACGAUAAACAUCGGAGAAGAGGCUCCCGUCCCAGUGUGCCCUACACCUGGAGAAAGCUGGAAAGAAGUGAAACAUGAUAAAACUGUUACAUGGUUGGCCUCUUGGAACGAUCCAAUAAACGAAAAAGACAUCAAGUACGUUUUCCUUGCGGCAAGCAGCUCACUAAAGGGACAGAGUGACAAGGAGAAAUAUGAGAAGGCCCGGAAACUGAAGGAUUACAUAGGCAGUAUUCGGGCAAAUUACACCAAGGAUUUCAGCAGCAAUGAUCAGAGGAAGAAACAAAUUGCAGUGGCAACAUACCUUAUAGAUAAACUAGCCCUUAGGGCAGGCAAUGAAAAGGAUGAGGAUGAGGCAGAUACUGUUGGUUGUUGUACACUUAAGGUUGAAAAUGUUACUUGUUUGCCUCCAAACAAGCUUCAGUUUGACUUUCUUGGUAAAGAUUCUAUAAGAUACUAUAACACUGUAGAGGUUGAACUAGCUGUAUACGAGGCUAUUAAGGAAUUCUGUGCAGGUAAAAAGAAGGGAGGAAAUGUCUUUGACAAGCUUGAUACAACUAAACUAAAUGCUCAUCUCAAGAACUUAAUGCCUGGCCUGACUGCAAAAGUCUUUCGUACAUACAAUGCUUCCAUCACUUUGGACACCUUCUUGAACAAAGAAACAACAGAUGGAACCGUUGAUGAAAAGGCUAAAGUCUAUCAACGAGCAAAUAAAGAGGUUGCUAUAAUCUGCAACCAUCAGCGUGCUGUCCCAAAAUCACAUGAUUCCCAGAUGAAUAAGUUGAAUGAAAAGAUUAAUGAAUUAACGGCUCAGAGGGAUCAGUUGAACGUAGAAUUGGAGAAAGCAAAUAAACUUGUGUCUAAAAGAGCAAAGAAACGAAAGCUUGUAGGCUCUGAUGGAGAUGCGAAGCGAAGGAGAAAAUUGACCCCUGAAAUGUUGCAGAAGAAGUUAUCGCAGGUUGAAACUAGGAUAGUGGAAACGGAUAACCACAAGAACAACAAAGAAGAUUUGAAGACAGUGGCACUAGGCACAUCAAAGAUUAACUACCUUGAUCCUAGAAUUACUGUGGCGUGGUGCAAAACCCAUGAAGUUCCUAUUGACAGGGAUAAGAUUUUCACCAAGACAAUUCUGGAGAAAUUUGCAUGGGCAAUGGAUGUCGACCCAGAUUUCAGAUUCUAA
Molecule: ribosomal RNA, 2337 nt
Filed under: Triticum aestivum (bread wheat)
Lineage: Eukaryota; Viridiplantae; Streptophyta; Magnoliopsida; Poales; Poaceae
Description: partial small subunit ribosomal RNA
Source: RNAcentral